GCACCAUCCAAACUGAAUCGGCGACCAUCAGCGUGGUCGAUGAUCAUUGUC
RNAcentral lists this small RNA (51 nucleotides) under Sinorhizobium meliloti 2011. RNAcentral's name for it is "putative ncRNA". Lineage: Bacteria; Pseudomonadati; Pseudomonadota; Alphaproteobacteria; Hyphomicrobiales; Rhizobiaceae. The record is from RNAcentral.